This 2534-nucleotide ribosomal RNA is filed under the name Listeria monocytogenes. RNAcentral's name for it is "partial 23S ribosomal RNA". It matches the Rfam family "Bacterial large subunit ribosomal RNA", at positions 393 to 2925 of the family's 2925-position model. Lineage: Bacteria; Bacillati; Bacillota; Bacilli; Caryophanales; Listeriaceae. The record is from RNAcentral.
CCUCCAGAGUGGAUCCUGAGUACGGCGGAACACGUGAAAUUCCGUCGGAAUCCGGGAGGACCAUCUCCCAAGGCUAAAUACUCCCUAGUGACCGAUAGUGAACCAGUACCGUGAGGGAAAGGUGAAAAGCACCCCGGAAGGGGAGUGAAACAGUUCCUGAAACCGUGUGCCUACAAGUAGUUAGAGCCCGUUAAUGGGUGAUAGCGUGCCUUUUGUAGAAUGAACCGGCGAGUUACGAUUUGUUGCAAGGUUAAGCGGAAAAAGCGGAGCCGUAGCGAAAGCGAGUCUGAAUAGGGCGCAUAAGUAACAGGUCGUAGACCCGAAACCAGGUGAUCUACCCAUGUCCAGGAUGAAGGUAAGGUAAUACUUACUGGAGGUCCGAACCCACGCACGUUGAAAAGUGCGGGGAUGAGGUGUGGGUAGCGGAGAAAUUCCAAUCGAACUUGGAGAUAGCUGGUUCUCUCCGAAAUAGCUUUAGGGCUAGCCUCGAGGUAAAGAGUCAUGGAGGUAGAGCACUGUUUGGACUAGGGGCCCUUCUCGGGUUACCGAAUUCAGAUAAACUCCGAAUGCCAUGUACUUAUACUCGGGAGUCAGACUGCGAGUGAUAAGAUCCGUAGUCGAAAGGGAAACAGCCCAGACCACCAGUUAAGGUCCCCAAAUAUAUGUUAAGUGGAAAAGGAUGUGGGGUUGCUUAGACAACCAGGAUGUUGGCUUAGAAGCAGCCACCAUUGAAAGAGUGCGUAAUAGCUCACUGGUCGAGUGACCCCGCGCCGAAAAUGUACCGGGGCUAAACAUAUUACCGAAACUGUGGAUGAACCUCUUUAGAGGUUCGUGGUAGGAGAGCGUUCUAAGGGCGGUGAAGUCAGACCGGAAGGACUGGUGGAGCGCUUAGAAGUGAGAAUGCCGGUAUGAGUAGCGAAAGAAGGGUGAGAAUCCCUUCCACCGAAUAUCUAAGGUUUCCUGAGGAAGGCUCGUCCGCUCAGGGUUAGUCGGGACCUAAGCCGAGGCCGAUAGGCGUAGGCGAUGGACAACAGGUAGAGAUUCCUGUACCAGUGCUAAUUGUUUAACCGAUGGGGUGACACAGAAGGAUAGGGAAUCGCACGAAUGGAAAUGUGCGUCCAAGCAGUGAGUGUGAGAAGUAGGCAAAUCCGCUUCUCGCGAAGCAUGAGCUGUGAUGGGGAAGGAAAUUAAGUACGGAAGUUCCUGAUUUCACGCUGUCAAGAAAAGCCUCUAGGAAGAGUAGUACUGCCCGUACCGCAAACCGACACAGGUAGAUGAGGAGAGAAUCCUAAGGUGAGCGAGAGAACUCUCGUUAAGGAACUCGGCAAAAUGACCCCGUAACUUCGGGAGAAGGGGUGCUCUAUUAGGGUGCAAGCCCGAGAGAGCCGCAGUGAAUAGGCCCAGGCGACUGUUUAGCAAAAACACAGGUCUCUGCAAAACCGUAAGGUGACGUAUAGGGGCUGACGCCUGCCCGGUGCUGGAAGGUUAAGAGGAGUGCUUAGCUUCGGCGAAGGUACGAAUUGAAGCCCCAGUAAACGGCGGCCGUAACUAUAACGGUCCUAAGGUAGCGAAAUUCCUUGUCGGGUAAGUUCCGACCCGCACGAAAGGCGCAACGAUCUGGGCACUGUCUCAACGAGAGACUCGGUGAAAUUAUAGUACCUGUGAAGAUGCAGGUUACCCGCGACAGGACGGAAAGACCCCGUGGAGCUUUACUGCAACCUGAUAUGGAAUGUUUGUACCGCUUGUACAGGAUAGGUAGGAGCCGAAGAGACGUGUGCGCUAGCAUACGAGGAGGCAAUGGUGGGAUACUACCCUGGCUGUAUGACCAUUCUAACCCGCCACGCUUAGCGCGUGGGGAGACAGUGUCAGGUGGGCAGUUUGACUGGGGCGGUCGCCUCCUAAAGAGUAACGGAGGCGCCCAAAGGUUCCCUCAGAAUGGAUGGAAAUCAUUCGCAGAGUGUAAAGGCACAAGGGAGCUUGACUGCGAGACUGACAAGUCGAGCAGGGACGAAAGUCGGGCUUAGUGAUCCGGUGGUUCCGCAUGGAAGGGCCAUCGCUCAACGGAUAAAAGCUACCCCGGGGAUAACAGGCUUAUCUCCCCCAAGAGUCCACAUCGACGGGGAGGUUUGGCACCUCGAUGUCGGCUCGUCGCAUCCUGGGGCUGUAGUCGGUCCCAAGGGUUGGGCUGUUCGCCCAUUAAAGCGGCACGCGAGCUGGGUUCAGAACGUCGUGAGACAGUUCGGUCCCUAUCCGUCGCGGGCGCAGGAAAUUUGAGAGGAGCUGUCCUUAGUACGAGAGGACCGGGAUGGACACACCGCUGGUGUACCAGUUGUUCCGCCAGGAGCAUCGCUGGGUAGCUAUGUGUGGCAGGGAUAAACGCUGAAAGCAUCUAAGCGUGAAGCCCCCCUCAAGAUGAGAUUUCCCAUUUCUUCGGAAAGUAAGAUCCCUGAAAGAUGAUCAGGUAGAUAGGUUUGGAGUGGAAGUGUAGCGAUACAUGGAGCGGACAAAUACUAAUCGAUCGAGGACUUAACCAA